RNAcentral lists this unclassified non-coding RNA (332 nucleotides) under soil metagenome. RNAcentral describes it as "partial contains 5.8S ribosomal RNA, internal transcribed spacer 2, and large subunit ribosomal RNA". The stretch from base 1 to 120 matches the Rfam family "5.8S ribosomal RNA", at positions 35 to 154 of the family's 154-position model. The record is from RNAcentral.
GAUGAAGAACGUAGCGAAAUGCGAUAAGUAAUGUGAAUUGCAGAAUUCAGUGAAUCAUCGAAUCUUUGAACGCCCAUUGCGCCCGCCAGUAUUCUGGCGGGCAUGCCUGUCCGAGCGUCAUUUCAACCAUCAAGCCCCGGGCUUGUGUUGGGGACCUGCGUCCGACGCAGGCCCUGAAAACCAGUGGCGGGCUCGCUGUCCACACCGAGCGUAGUAACUAACCUCGCUAUGGAGUGGCGCGGGCGCCUGCCGUAAAACCCCCAAUUUCACAAGGUUGACCUCGGAUCAGGUAGGAAUACCCGCUGAACUUAAGCAUAUCAAUAAGCGGAGGA